RNAcentral lists this ribosomal RNA (997 nucleotides) under Prevotella sp. oral taxon 292. RNAcentral describes it as "bacterial SSU rRNA". It matches the Rfam family "Bacterial small subunit ribosomal RNA", at positions 28 to 1015 of the family's 1533-position model. The record is from RNAcentral. Lineage: Bacteria; Pseudomonadati; Bacteroidota; Bacteroidia; Bacteroidales; Prevotellaceae.
GAUGAACGCUAGCUACAGGCUUAACACAUGCAAGUCGAGGGGAAACGGGGAAGCAGCUUGCUGCUUUCUGUCGUCGACCGGCGCGCGGGUGAGUAACGCGUAUCCAACCUUCCCAUAACUAAGGAAUACCCCGUAGAAAUGCGGCCUAAUCCCUUAUGGUCUCUUAUGCCUGUCAUGGGAAUAAGAGUAAAGAUUUAUCGGUUAUGGAUGGGGAUGCGUCUGAUUAGCUUGCUGGCGGGGUAACGGCCCACCAGGGCAUCGAUCAGUAGGGGUUUGAGAGGAAGGUCCCCCACAUUGGAACUGAGACACGGUCCAAACUCCUACGGAGGCAGCAGUGAGGAAUAUUGGUCAAUGGGCGCAAGCCUGAACCAGCCAAGUAGCGUGCAGGAUGACGGCCCUAUGGGUUGUAAACCGCUUUUUAAGGGGAAUAAAGAGGGACACGCGUGUCCUGUUGCAUGUACCCUUGGAAUAAGGACCGGCUAAUUCCGUGCCAGCAGCCGCGGUAAUACGGAAGGUCCAGGUGUUAUCCGGAUUUAUUGGGUUUAAAGGGAGCGUAGGCCGCAGGUUAAGUGUGUUGUGAAAAGCAGUCGCCCAACGUCUGCCUUGCAGCGCAAACUGUCCUGCUUGAGUGCGCACAACGCAGGCGGAAUUCGUCGUGUAGCGGUGAAAUGCUUAGAUAUGACGAAGAACUCCGAUUGCGAAGGCAGCUUGCGGGAGCGCAACUGACGCUGAAGCUCGAAGGUGCGGGUAUCGAACAGGAUUAGAUACCCUGGUAGUCCGCACGGUAAACGCUGGAUGCCCGUUUUUGGCUUAUUUUAAGUCAGAGACCAAGCGAAAGCAUUAAGCAUCCCACCUGGGGAGUACGCCGGCAACGGUGAAACUCAAAGGAAUUGACGGGGGCCCGCACAAGUGGAGGAACAUGUGGUUUAAUUCGAUGAUACGCGAGGAACCUUACCCGGGCUUGAAUUGCCAGAGACAGCUCCAGAGAUGGAGCUUC